Molecule: non-coding RNA, 370 nt
Organism: Pelobates cultripes (western spadefoot toad)
Lineage: Eukaryota; Metazoa; Chordata; Amphibia; Anura; Pelobatidae
Source: the annotation of a GenBank genome assembly
AUGACAGCAAAAAGACAGUAAAAUACAAUAAAACACACAAGGUUACAUUUAUGACAUAAAAUACAGACAUGCAACAUAUACCCAGAUAGCUAAGAUCUGAGUGCACAUUAUUACUGAAUGGCGCUCAGAGCACACACAAACAGUUCAAUUGCCAUGGAGCCAAAGUCUUUCCCAUAGUCUUUCAUUAUACGAAUGGGCUCCAUGGCAUAGCUAUCUGGGGUAUCACCACUCAAACAGGGCAAGCACCAAAUGACCCGGCUUUCUUGUCUUUGCAGGGGAAAAGAAAGUCUUUUAACAUGGGGCCAUAAUCCAAAGGCAACAGGCGAGCAACCAGGCUUCUCCAAUGCAAUGUGGCGAGAUUGGUCUCGUC